CUCCCUGCUGGACAGCAGUGUCUCAGCCGGUACAACCAGAGACUAAAGCUGGACUGACAGCCAGUGAAGUAAAUCCACACCGGAAACAACAGGGAAUCACUCCAGAAUCACUGAGUCAACUCUGAGACAUGAAAUGUGGGAUCACAGUCUGCCAAGGCACUCUUUCAAUGUUGCUCACUGACACCAUGGGAAAUGUCAUUACAAGUUAAAGGGAAACAUCUAUCAACCAUCACAUUAGUAUCCUGAGUGUUGGCCAGCACACAUCCAUAUGGUAUAACCAUACCAAACUCCUGUGCUCCCUGUGGACU
Long non-coding RNA from Lampris incognitus (smalleye Pacific opah), 308 nucleotides. RefSeq lists it as uncharacterized. NCBI's taxonomy places the organism in Eukaryota, Metazoa, Chordata, Actinopteri, Lampriformes, Lampridae. The record is from RefSeq and is a predicted model, not a curated record. The transcript has 3 exons.